Molecule: small nuclear RNA, 107 nt
Filed under: Carlito syrichta (Philippine tarsier)
Lineage: Eukaryota; Metazoa; Chordata; Mammalia; Primates; Tarsiidae
Source: RNAcentral
GUGCUCACUUCAGGAGUGCGUAUACUAAAAUAUGGACAAUACAGAAAAUGUUAUCAUGUCUUCUGUAUAAGGAUGAUACACAAAUGUAUGAAGUGUUCCAUAUCUUU